RNAcentral lists this long non-coding RNA (280 nucleotides) under Glycine max (soybean). Its description in RNAcentral is "long non-coding RNA (GMAX_LNC002574)". The record is from RNAcentral. Lineage: Eukaryota; Viridiplantae; Streptophyta; Magnoliopsida; Fabales; Fabaceae.
AAUAAACAGUUUCAGAACAUAUACAUUAACAGUUCAAGGCAUGAUGGUGACAAGAUUUGACGACCCUCUGAUAUUUUCAGUUUUGCCUUUGCAUAUAGUAUAUCUUCAUUAUUCAAAUCUUAACAUCUCUCCAAAGAAAUUGCAUUGGGUUUUAUCAAAGAAUGCAUAAUUCAUCCUUAGGUUCCAAUUAUUCUAGCUAGCCAGGGAGUUGACCUCCGAGUUAAUUAACAUCACUUAAAAGUGGCUCAGUUGAUAUGUGGAACCUUGAAAAAGACACUCA